ACGAACGCUGGCGGCGCGCCUAACACAUGCAAGUCGAACGGAGUCAAGAGGAGCUUGCUUUUCUUGACUUAGUGGCGAACGGGUGAGUAACGCGUGAGUAACCUGCCCUGGAGUGGGGGACAACAGUUGGAAACGACUGCUAAUACCGCAUAAGCCCACGGAUCUGCAUGGAUCUGCGGGAAAAGGAUUUAUUCGCUCUAGGAUGGACUCGCGUCCAAUUAGCUAGUUGGUGAGGUAACGGCCCACCAAGGCGACGAUUGGUAGCCGGACUGAGAGGUUGAACGGCCACAUUGGGACUGAGACACGGCCCAGACUCAUACGGGAGGCAGCAGUGGGGGAUAUUACACAAUGGGGGAAACCCUGAUGCAGCGACGCCGCGUGGAGGAAGAAGGUUUUCGGAUUGUAAACUCCUGUCGUUAGGGACGAUAAUGACGGUACCUAACAAGAAAGCACCGGCUAACUACGUG
This 467-nucleotide ribosomal RNA is filed under the name uncultured bacterium. RNAcentral describes it as "partial 16S ribosomal RNA". It matches the Rfam family "Bacterial small subunit ribosomal RNA", at positions 29 to 507 of the family's 1533-position model. The record is from RNAcentral.